CCUACGUACGAUUUUGUCUGCCUCCCAAGAGACCCGAGCUCUGCAAUGGCUUCCCACGCCUGCCACGGUGCGUGGUCCCAAACAGAUGCGCCGCAGACAGCAGGUGAUGUCAGGAGCCUUGGAUGACCCUGGUGUCGGGGUGCUCACUACCUCUCACUGGUGAUUAUCCUGAUCAUUAGAAGGCAGCAUUUGGCUCCAUCCAUCUCCAGCCUCUGUGUGCCCCCACCCAGCAGCGGAGAAUGACCCCCUUUCCCACGCCAGGCAAGUCCCCAGAGGGAGCUUUGGCUGGAAGAAGAAGCUACCAGACUGGGGGCCAAGAGAGGGGAGACGCUGGUGAAGGACAACAGUGGCUCAGUGUUUUCCAGGAAGGCUGGAGUGCACGAAGAAUGCAAAGGUGGGAAAGGAACUGCUGGGGGUGGCCCUGUGCCCCCUGACGUGUCUCCCUUGGGUGCGGUGGUGGGCGGGGGGGCUGUCCACUCCACCAACCACAUAAGUCCCGGCCACUAGCAGAGACGGGCAGGGCCAGCCACAGAGGUGCACGAUCGGCACCUGGCUGCAGUGGCUUUCCAGGGUCUGUCCCUUUCGGCAUGCCCUUAACCAGGCAGACGUUCUAAAGGUUUCUGCACACCACAGAAAGGGGGAGGGGGGCAGGGCCACGUGACACAGAGCCUCACCUCACUGAGCCCACAGCUUCCUCAGCUGCAAAAUGGGACCAAUGGAACCCAUUUCCCUGGACGGCCGUGAAGGUUUCAUGAGAGAAAUAAGCUGUUUGGGAAGUUCUCAGAGAGCGGUGACCCCUCCCUUAUGAUUAACCAGCCCCGGGAGCCGCUCCAGGAUGCAUCUUGACAAUUGGAAAUACGGAAAGACACAAGGCCGUGCUGCUGUGGGCAUCUCGUUAUGAGAACGUUGGUUUCUUGGGUUAUAUUAAGAUGUGGUUUUCCUGUUCAAGCCUCUGAAAUCCCCUGUGGGUUCUCUGGGGGUUCAGCAGCAGGGGAAGAGGUAGGUCCCCAACAAGGAGUGGGCAGGAGAAGGAGGUCCGGCCUCCUGCACUUUGGUUGCUGCCUGAACUUGGGAAACCAGCCCCGGGUCCUUGGGGGUUGCCACAAAGGGUCCCUACGCCGGACUCCCACCAUUAGCGAAUCAAAACAUAAGAGGUGCA
Long non-coding RNA from Leopardus geoffroyi (Geoffroy's cat), 1159 nucleotides. RefSeq lists it as uncharacterized. NCBI's taxonomy places the organism in Eukaryota, Metazoa, Chordata, Mammalia, Carnivora, Felidae. The record is from RefSeq and is a predicted model, not a curated record. The transcript is spliced from 2 exons.